RNAcentral lists this ribosomal RNA (425 nucleotides) under uncultured bacterium. RNAcentral's name for it is "bacterial SSU rRNA". It matches the Rfam family "Bacterial small subunit ribosomal RNA", at positions 354 to 796 of the family's 1533-position model. The record is from RNAcentral.
GUUCAGAAUCUUGCACAAUGGACGAAAGUCUGAUGCAGCCAUGCCGCGUGUGCGAAGAAGGCCUUCGGGUCGUAAAGCACUGUCAGAGGGAAAGAUCAUGACGGUACCCUCAAAGGAAGCCACGGCUAAUUACGUGCCAGCAGCCGCGGUAAUACGUAAGUGGCGAGCGUUAUCCGGAAUUACUGGGCGUAAAGCGUUCGUAGGCGGUGCAGUAAGUUGGGUUUGAAAGCCCGGGGCUCAACUCCGGAUCCGGAUCCAAAACUAUUGUACUUGAGCGUAUCAGGGGGCAGCGGAAUUCCCGGUGUAGCGGUAAUAUGCGUAGAUAUCGGGAGGAACACCAGUGGCGAAGGCGGCUGCCUGGGGUAUUGCUGACGCUGAGGAACGAAGGCCAGGGGAGCGAACGGGAUUAGAUACCCGAGUAGUCC